This 136-nucleotide ribosomal RNA is filed under the name Candidatus Bathyarchaeota archaeon. RNAcentral's name for it is "partial 23S ribosomal RNA". The stretch from base 1 to 119 matches the Rfam family "Archaeal large subunit ribosomal RNA", at positions 2763 to 2880 of the family's 2987-position model. The record is from RNAcentral. Lineage: Archaea; Thermoproteati; Candidatus Bathyarchaeota.
CGGGACGCUGUGGCCUCUAGUUUACCGGUUGUCCGACAGGGCAGACGCCGGGCAGCCACGCCGCCGGGGAUAAGGGCUGAAAGCAUCUAAGCCCGAAGCCCCUCCCGAAAAUAGGCAGCCAUUCCCACCGUAAGGU